GUGCGCGGAGGAGAUGCGUAGGGUGUGACCCCCCACUUGUGACUUCAAAAGCAAAAAGACCUACUCGACCGACCGACGGUUUUAGAACUCAGAAGACAGUCGAACCCUCACAUCUGCUUCUCCAUUCAGCCAGUGAUGAUGCUACAUGUCAAGUACCAAGGCUCCAGGCUUUAAAAUCCAGAGUUCAAAAUUCCUGUGCUAUCACUCACUAUCUGUGCGACCUCGGGAGCUGAUUGUGGCCGGACAAUGAUGAAUGGUGUCAUAUGGGGCACCUGAAGAUCCCAACGGCUAUCAUCGUCAUCACCAUCAUUGCCCUCUUCGUCCUUGUUCGUGCCAUGAGAGCCGUUUCACUGUGGCCAUUGGGA
Prionailurus viverrinus (fishing cat) is the source of this 365-nucleotide long non-coding RNA. RefSeq lists it as uncharacterized. The transcript has 3 exons. The record is from RefSeq and is a predicted model, not a curated record. Lineage: Eukaryota; Metazoa; Chordata; Mammalia; Carnivora; Felidae.